CAAUCUGUCACUUGAGAAUUCUGUGGGAUAAAUGCUUAUAUUGACAAUGUCCAUCUGAUUAAAAUAAUAACUUACUUUUAUAAUCUUGAGUGAAUUAAAAUGAAAUAGUAUUUUUGUGAAAUCCAUUCCCUACUAUUAAUGUAAUGAAAGGAAGAGUUUUGCCAAGAUUUUUUUAGAUAUUUUUCCACUUAAAAAAUAUAUUUAUUAUAUGAAAACUGAUUUGUUUGCUUAUUUUACUCUUUCAAAUUAAGGAUCCUGUAGAGGACCUGAAGUUGAUGCUAUGCAUUGUUUCUUGUCUUCUGGAAAUCCUUUUAUGCUGAAUAGGCUAUAAAACUGUAGAAAUCCCUAUGGAAUAUCUAUAUCUGGUAGCAUCUCUGUAUAUGCACGGACUUUUCCUAUAUGAGAAAAACCACAUGAAUUACGAUUAUCAUUUUAUGGUCAUCUCUAGCCUUUAAAGUGACAAAAGAAAAGUGCAGUCUCAUGGGGGAACGUAUAGAAGGUGACACAUGGAGAUACUAAUGAUGGUGCCGACUGCAGUGUCAAACUGAAUGAGAAAAAAGCAGGAAAAAGGUUCGUUCAUUUCAAAUUCACAUCUGCCUUGUCUGGGUUGCAGUUUCAGGGAAAAUGUGGAAGCGGUGGCCAUUAAUUCCUUGAGGCCAGAGAACAUUACCUGACAGGUCUUCAAAUUGAAAGAAGAAUUGUAUGUGAGGAUCCUCAUGCACACUUGGACUUUAUUUAAGUCAUGAUAUCUUGUACUUCAAACCAGAGCCUAAUUCUGUAAUGGGAUGAGGUUUUAGAGGUAAUGGGAGUGACUGAGCGUAUUUUACUUGUGGGAAGAACAUGAAUCAUUACAUGAUAGAGGGUAAAUUAGUAGUCUGUUACAUUGUUCAUUGCCAAUGGAUCAUGCCAUAUUCACACUCUUGUGUAGCUCUUUCCCUUGACUAUGGACUGGCUUAAAGACUGCUUUGAACACUAUAAUGUAGGUUAGAGGCCUAGGACUUCUGAGUUCAGGCAUUAAGAAGAUUUGGUAGCCCUCAUUUAUUUUUUUACCACUUGAGAGCCCUGAGCUGCUACAGAAGAACUCCAGCUGCCAUGUUGGAGAGGUGACAUGGAGAGGAAGAGGCAUUGAGACUGGAGGAAAAUUGAGGAACCUAGGUGAUUGUGAGCACCAUGGCCCCAGACAAAUGAUGUCACUUGAGUCUGCUUACUCUACUUACUCUCCAGCGAUUUGAACUAUUCUAGCUGAGGUACCAGUUAUGUGAGUGAAGAAGCCAUCUCAGACACGCCAACACCAGCAUUCACAAAGUAGGGCAGGGGCCGGCCUGGUGGCACAGCAGUUAAUUUCGCAUGUUCUGCUUCUUGGUGGCCUGGGGUUCACCAGUUCAGAUCCUGGGUGUGGAUGUGGCACCGCUUGGCACACCAUGCUGUGGUAGGCGUCCCACAUAUAAAGUAGAGGAAGACGGGCACAGAUGUUAGCUCAGGGCUAGGCUUCCUCAGUAAAAAGAGGAGGACUGGCAGUAGUUAGCUCAGGGCUAACCUUCCUCAAAAAAAAAAGGGCAGAAAUGAGCCAUCCCAGUUGUGCCCUUUUCAAAUUCCUGACUCCCAAUCCUGAGGAAUAAUAAAGGAUAUAUAUGCCUAUCUAACACAGAUACUUCAAAUCUCACUGGAUCUUUUGAGUCACAAAGUCCAAAUGGCAGGGAGGGUUGCACUUGGCCUGGAUUUGUUAAGGAAUCCACUCAAAACUGGCAAUCUUUUGGGCUACUUGGUGACUGAGUUAGAAAAUGACAAGAAAUGUGGCACAUAUUACCUUCAUAAUCCAAGGACAUCCACCAAAUAUUGUGCCUCUUCUUCACUGUGAGCAGUGUAAGGUUAAAAAUUACCCCCAUCUUGUGUGUUUAUCUCCUGGACUAUUAUUAUUUCAGUUCUGUGUCAGGCAGGAUCCAAUCAGGAGACCAAAACCACAUGGUAAUUUGAACAGAAGUUUAAUAUAAGAAAUUAUUAACUCUCAUAGACAGUUGGAGUAAUGACUAGAAUUGGGUUAGGAUAACUAAAGAAUACUGGAAUAGCAGACAUAGGGAGCAGUUACCAUCCCUAGGGCUGAGAUAGAGCAUCCAAGGAAGAGCCUCUCUACCACUCUGGGCUAAGAUCCAGAUCUUGUUGGAGAGCAUGCAGUUCACUGGAUGGUGGAGGAGUUUGCUGAGGUGGUGUGCCAGUAGGACUCACUGAGAAUGUGCUUUCUGGGAGCUGGAGAAAGCUGUCCAUCGAGAGAUGGUUCACCUCAGAACCUACUACCAAGCUUUCCAAGGGCUGCUAAAGGAAGGCUUCUAAAGGGAGGUGCCAUACUUCAGAAAUCAUUGCAAAGCCAUCCAAGGAUGAGCCAUUCAUGGGUGGUGCCAGAUGCUGUUAGCUCCAGGUACUGCUGACCCUCGUGUCCUUUGGGAGCUGAGCACUACAGAAGUCACCUUAGAGGGCACUGAGGGAAGCUAUUCACGGGGAUGUGUCAUACAUUAUUGACCCAUAGUACUAUAUAUAGUAUAGGAGAAAUAUGUACAGGUUGCAAAGCAGGCAGUGAAGGGUGGAUUUGGAUGUGAGAGGCACUAAAUUAGUAACUGGAGCACCAGCCAUUACAUAUUUAUUUCUGUUAAUUCUAUAUCAAGGAAGUAACCUAAAUUAGAAAUUUUGUGGGUAUCUUGUUUCACAACUACGUACUGAUUACAAUAAAUGCUUUCAUUUUAAUGUCGUUUUAUUAAUGACCCAGAGGUAUAUAAAUCAAAUUUAUAUAUGACUCAAAGCUGGAAGAGCUAGCCAACAAAUGGUGGGUAAUGGCACAUAGUGGGUAUUCCAAUAAAUAUUUGUUAGAUGAAUUGUUAGGUAAAUGGAUAACUGUAUUAUCCUUUAAAAAGAUUUCAAAAGACUCAAAUCAACUUUUGACAUUUUAAUAAAUUUUCAAAAAUUAAUUCCAAGUAAUAGGAUGGAGGAGGAGUAUAGGAGAUUUUUAUGACAAUUCUUUAAAAAGAUAGAAGGAUUUUAGGUGACUCUAAGCUCAAAAUGAGCUAAAUGAAAGAAAGGGGGAAAAAAAAAUCUAGGCAGAUUCCAGAUCUAGAAAUGAGGUUAGUUUCUCCUUUAGAGAUUCCUCUGGUAAAAUGGUAGUAUCUUCCCAUAGCUAUCUUUUGAUAAGAAUUGUGAAUCUGCUUUGGGGCUCAGUGGUAAAUAGUUUAGUGAUUGAUUAGCAUUAUAUGAGUGUGGGAGGGAGCAGUAUCAAGUGAGAUAAUGGCUUCAAUCUUGCCCACUGGUAUGUCAACUUCUGCAAUAUUGUGUUCUAUGCUGGAUAUCACAUUUAAGGGUUAAUUGAAGCAAAUGUUUUUACUAUUUUUAGAAUUUUAUGAAAGUCAUGAGCUUUCUCUUGGAAGAAUGCACAUUGCAUAUAUAUGUAAAAUUUUGUAUGCAACUGCAAAAGCUUCAUGGAAUCUAGAUUAAGAAUUCUUGAGUUGGAGGAUAUAGGAAAACAUACCUAAAUAAUAAUUAAUAGGAGCUACAUUUAGUGAACAGUUCUAUGGGCCAGUGCUCUACUAGGCAAUAGCAUAUAUAAUAUCUCCUUUAAGAUGCAACAACAAUAUUGCAAAAUGGAUAGUAUUACUUCCAUUUUGCAAUAGAGGUAACUGACAGUGAGAGACAUUCUGUAAUUCACUUAAAAUCACACAAUGGCACAUCUGGAAUUCCAGCUCAAGUACCUCUCACUCAAAGCUCAUUGUUUCCGUUUUCUAUAAAGGAACAUAUUUUGCAUAUAAUGCUUAGUAAAUGUUUGAACAGUAAAUAAAUGAAAAGCUUCCAUGUGGAAAAUAGCUUAUUUUGUAUUGCUCUGGAAGGAGUGCAUGGGUAGAACUUAUAUGGAGUGAUGUUUGAUAUUUGAAAUUUAUUUUUUGAAAAACCCUACUUUACUAGUCCUUUGCAUUUACUUAUUUGUUUGUCUCUUUUAAGACCUUGCUUUCACGUAUAAUUUCACAUGACUUUCACCCUAUGAGGAAGAUAAGGUAGAUAUAAUUACCACUGUUUUAUAGAUAAUGACACUCAAACAAAAGGAUUAAGUGAUUUGCUCAAGGUCAGACAGCAAAUUACGAUCAGAGUUCCAGGUCUCCUCUAGUCAUCUAGUCUCAGCUCCUUCAACCAUGGUAUUCUGCUUCUCAGAACAUCUCACUGGAAAAUGAGACAUAAGACAAUAACAGGGACGUGAUAUAUUUAGGUGUGAUACAGUCCACUUUGGCUGCCCAGAUAAAUGAAAACAUCCAUUUAGAAAGUCUAAAUUAAUUAUUAAUAAUUCAUAUUUAUAUCGUCCCUACUGCUGUAAAGGAGUUCAGAGAUGUACAGUUAAACGUCCUGACUCUUGGAAUUGAAGAAUAUGACUUCUGAAUCUUUGGGGGGAAAAUUUCACACUAGGGCUCACUGGUAACAAAGGAUUCCAUAGGAGCUUCCCUGCUGCCUUUUUCUCUUCCUUCUACUACUAUUCCUCCCAAGAUUAGCAAAAGUUCCUUCUUCUUCCCUGUAUUUACAAAGCAAAGUGCAAGGUUUCACAGGGUACCUUAGCUAUGACCUAAUUCCAGUGCUUGUGUUAAUUACUCUAAGUGUUUUAUGUGGAAUUUUACAAUUUACAGAGUUCUUUCAUGUACAUUGUGUCUAUUGAUCUUCAAACCACUCUGAUAGGCAGAACAGACCUUGUUUAUCCUGAUUUUAGGAAUAAAAAAAUUGGGGUCCAGAGAGGUUGAAAGACUUCCACUAAUCACACAGCUAUAUGUAGUAGAUGCAGGGUUUAAGUCCACCUGCUUUUCUGCCUCUUUCCACUAACAGACCUGAGAGAAGAGAGUCCAAUAAGUACAAAUUGGAAAGUGGAUGAUUUUUGUAGUUAGCAGCAGCACUGAAAGCUUUCAGGACGACUUGGAUCUGUUUUUUGAGCUACCUUCAAUCUUGUUUUUUAGGACAGUCUGUUUACCUAUUCUGGUAUGGAGCAAUCUGGUUUUCUUUGCUGUGUUCAGAACUUCUCUUAGGAAAAGUAAAGGGGACAAAUUGUUCUCAUGACAGUUCCAGGUUUUUGGAUGGAUCCAGAAGUUUUUUCUGAACCUGUCAAGUGCUCCCAAUGAUUGAGAUUUUGGCUGGAGAUGCUUUUGGCAGUUCACUCAAGUACAACCCUCUUAUCUUUCCUCCCUCUGCUUGUUUUUGUCAAGUUAGGGCCCAACUUACAUAGGUCUGACUAUUUAUUAGAGAGGGCCAAGAAUGAAAACAAAAAGGGAAUCUAUUCACACUUUCAAAGGUAAACCACACUCCAUUUGCUUUUUUUAAAAAAUGAGAUAUUGACAUAUAACAUUAUAUUAGUUUCAGGUGUACAACAUAAUGAUUUGAUAUUUGUAUAUGUUGCAAAAUGAUCACAAUAAGUCUAGUUAACAUCCUUCACCACACAUAGUUACAAAAAUAUUUUUUUCUUAUGAUGAAAGCUUUUAAGAUCUACUCUCUUAGCAAAUUUCAAAUAUAAAAUAUUCAGUAUUAUUAACUGUAGUUACCAUGCUGUACAUUACAUCCCCAGGACCUAUUUAUUUUAUAACUAGAAGUUUGUACCUUUUGACUUCCUUCACCCAUUUUGCCCACUCCUACCCCUCACCUCUGGCAACCACCAAUCUGUUCUCUGUAUCUAUGAGCUUGGUGUUAUUUUUUGAUUCCAUAUAUAAGUGAGAUCAUAUAGUAUUUGUCUUUCUCUGUCUGACUUACUUCACUUAGCAUAAUGCCCGC
Equus caballus (horse) is the source of this 5775-nucleotide long non-coding RNA. The record is from Ensembl. NCBI's taxonomy places the organism in Eukaryota, Metazoa, Chordata, Mammalia, Perissodactyla, Equidae.